CCUACGGGUGGCAGCAGUGAGGAAUAUUGGUCAAUGGCCGGAAGGCUGAACCAGCCAAGCCGCGUGAAGGACGAAGGUGCCCAGCAUUGUAAACUUCUUUUGUCAAGGGACAAAAUCAGGCUCGAGAGCCUGACCGAGGGUACUUGAAGAAAAAGCAUCGGCUACCUCCGGGCCAGCAGCCGCGGUAUUACGGAGGAUGCGAGCGUUAUCCGGAUUUAUUGGGUUUAAAGGGUGCGUAGGCGGGCUGUUAAGUCAGCGGUAAAAGACCGGGGCUAAACCCCGGCGAGCCGUUGAACCUGGCUGUCUUGAGAGGUAGAGAGGAAUGUGGAAUGCGCAGUGUAGCGGUGAAAUGCUUAGAUAUUGCGAAGAACUCCGAUUGCGAAGGCAGCAUACUGGCGGCGAUCUGACGCUGAGGCACGAAAGCGUGGGGAGCGAACAGGAUUAGAUACCCUGGUAGUC
This 459-nucleotide ribosomal RNA is filed under the name uncultured bacterium. RNAcentral describes it as "partial 16S ribosomal RNA". It matches the Rfam family "Bacterial small subunit ribosomal RNA", at positions 338 to 795 of the family's 1533-position model. The record is from RNAcentral.